RNAcentral lists this ribosomal RNA (253 nucleotides) under uncultured bacterium. RNAcentral describes it as "partial 16S ribosomal RNA". It matches the Rfam family "Bacterial small subunit ribosomal RNA", at positions 524 to 776 of the family's 1533-position model. The record is from RNAcentral.
UACAGAGGGUGCGAGCGUUAAUCGGAAUAAUUGGGCGUAAAGAGUGCGUAGGUGGUAUCUUAAGUGGUAUGUGAAAGACCGGGGCUUAACCUUGGGGUGUCAUAUCAUACUGGGAUGCUAGAGGACAGUAGAGGAAGGUGGAAUUUCCGGUGUAGCGGUGAAAUGCGUAGAUAUCGGGAGGAACAUCAGUGGCGAAGGCGACCUUCUGGGCUGUACCUGACACUGAGGCACGAAAGCAUGGGGAGCGAACAGG